RNAcentral lists this ribosomal RNA (253 nucleotides) under uncultured bacterium. Its description in RNAcentral is "partial 16S ribosomal RNA". It matches the Rfam family "Bacterial small subunit ribosomal RNA", at positions 524 to 776 of the family's 1533-position model. The record is from RNAcentral.
UACAGAGGUCCCAAGCGUUGUUCGGAUUCACUGGGCGUAAAGGGUGCGUAGGCGGUCGGGUAAGUCUGAUGUGAAAUCUCCAAGCUUAACUUGGAAAUGGCAUCGGAUACUAUUCGGCUCGAGGAAUGGAGGGGAGACUGGAAUACUUGGUGUAGCAGUGAAAUGCGUAGAUAUCAAGUGGAACACCAGUGGCGAAGGCGAGUCUCUGGACAUUUACUGACGCUGAGGCACGAAGGCCAGGGGAGCAAACGGG